Crotalus tigris (Tiger rattlesnake) is the source of this 395-nucleotide long non-coding RNA. RefSeq lists it as uncharacterized. The transcript has 3 exons. The record is from RefSeq and is a predicted model, not a curated record. Lineage: Eukaryota; Metazoa; Chordata; Lepidosauria; Squamata; Viperidae.
AUAAAAGAGACGAGGUUGCCUACCCCUGAGCUUGUUGGACAACAGCUUGAAGCUUGCCAGGGCUGAGAGAAAGUGACUGGCCCAAGGUUACCUAGCUGACUUUGUAUCUCAGCUGUGAUUAGAACUCAUGGUCUCCCAGUCCGUAGCCUGAUGCUUUAAUCACUACAGCUAGUCCUCACUUAAGAGAAUCACACGGUUCAAACUGAAACAUCAUGGAAUUGAUGUAUGCCAUUACUCAUUCCAAGAGAAGGUUAAAAAGACUGUUUACAGAAGUUAGAAGUUGGAAAAAUAACUACAUUUACAUGGUGCUAAUUUAGGAAAAAGGAUUUCCUUCAUUACAUUUAGGAACAGUAACAGACCAGGAAAAAAUACUGCAUAUAAAAGAUGUUGGAAGA